ACACACCCAUUCUAGAGGCAACUCAUGCACGCACACAUCCAUCACACAACACCUCUGGCACCCAUCCAUCGCACAACACCUCCAGCACCCAUCCAUUUGCCAUCUCACGCACACAUCCAUUCAUGAUCAAACCACGCGGCAAUCCAUCCAUCCACAACCCACGCACCCAUUAAUCGGGACUCACGGCCAGGCCGAGGGAAGAACGCACGUAGAAUCCUCACGCAUCGUCCGGAGGUGGAGUGGAUCGCCUCUGGCAGAGUUUCAGGCGGCUGCAUCCCGGGAGCAAGGCGAGGAGGAGGAGGCGAACCACCAUGGAGGCCAAACUCGUGUUUCCGAAGGGGAUGGCCUUCACCAAGCCAACGUUACCAAGAACGACGAGGAGGUCGCCAUCACCACCUGCUGUCCACCUCGUCACGACGGUUCGACCAAGAUGACGACACGGAGCACGCCACGACACCGCCCACCGUCGGCGCCACAGAGGUCGGUGCCCCAGAGGUCGGCGCCACGGUGGCCAACCCUACUCACCACCGCUCGAUGAAGACGACGCGCCGCCGGAGCUCGUCUUCACCAAGCCCACGCUACGGACGCUGACACCACCAAGUUCGAUGCCCCGGGGGGCGACGCCGUAGAUGCCGCCCCUACUCACCAUCGCUCAGCGAAGACGACGCGCCGCCGGAGCUCGUCUUCACCAAGCCCACGCUACGGACACUGAUGCCACCGAGGUCGGUGCCCCGGAGGUCGGCGCCACGGUGGCCAACCCCACUCACCACCACUCGACGAAGACGACGCGCCGCCGGAGCUCGUCUUCACCAAGCCCACGCUACGGACGCUAACACCACCAAGUUUGAUGCCCCGGGGGGCAACGCCGCGGAUGCCGCCCCUACUCACCACCCCUCAACGAAGACGACGCGUCGCCAGGGCUCGUUCUCACCAAGCCAGCAAUCGAGGCCAACGGCACACGAAUCACCAUCACCACUCACAUCUACCUCGUCAUGGCGGUGCGGUGAGGGUGUUGACACAGAGUUCGCCGAGACGCUGCCCACCGCCGACGUCGCCAAGCUGCUGCCAUGGAGGUGGACGCCAUGGAGAUCACCAUCAUCACACACCCUUUGCCCCCUACAUCGAGCUCGUGCCCUGAAGAACGAAGCCGCGGAGUACACCAUACUAUGCUGCCAUGUGUCUUGGUCGAGGAUGACGAGGCCUAACUUUGAUGCCGGCGCAGCACCUCUCCCACACCUCGGCGGGACUGGAUGGUGCCAUCCUCCCGAGUACCAUCGUUGGGUAUGGCCACCUGUGGUGUACCCGGAGAGCAGCUGUACAUCUAAGGCGGAGUACACUACGUAUAGGUGCACGUAUAAGGCCCAGCACCAGUGCACGCAUGAAGACUGAUCGCCGGCUGGUCAUCACUGGAGACGGUCUAGCCUUGUCGCUAAGUUUCUAGUCUGCCUCUUGCCGGUGAAAUCAUCUUUGUGUUGCUGCGCUCCUGAACGCAUUGUUGUGCACCGCGAGGUGGCCAUUGCACGUGCAUGUGCCAUGCACGUAGUCAUUUGAUGGCAGGGUGGCACGUUUGUCAACCUUUCGUCGACUGGAAAAGCCAUCGGAGCCCUCACUCGUUCCUCAAAACGGCGUCGAGCGGUCUGUUCGGCCGUUAAGUCCGCAACCGCUUUAUCAGCGGUCGCCUUGCUUACCCUAGCUUGCUCCUUGGCUUGGGUAAGCUCAUCCCUGUGGGUUUCAACCGUGGCAGCACCAUCUGCACAAACACACACAUUACAGCUCUGGAAACCCCACAGAAUACAGACAUAAAUAGGCAUAACAUAAGAGUAUCUCA
This is a long non-coding RNA of Triticum urartu, 1828 nucleotides long. RefSeq lists it as uncharacterized. NCBI's taxonomy places the organism in Eukaryota, Viridiplantae, Streptophyta, Magnoliopsida, Poales, Poaceae. The record is from RefSeq and is a predicted model, not a curated record.